GAUGAACGCUGGCGGCGUGCCUAACACAUGCAAGUCGAGCGAACAGACGAGGAGCUUGCUCCUCUGACGUUAGCGGCGGACGGGUGAGUAACACGUGGAUAACCCACCUAUAAGACUGGGAUAACUUCGGGAAACCGGAGCUAAUACCGGAUAAUAUAUUGAACCGCAUGGUUCAAUAGUGAAUGACGGCUUUGCUGUCACUUAUAGAUGGAUCUGGGCCGCAUUAGCUGGUUGUUAAGUUAACGGCUUACCAAGGCAACGAUGCGUAGCCGACCUGAGAGGGGGGUCGGCGACACUGGAGCUGGACCAGGGACCAGACUACUACGGGAGGCAGCAGAAGGGUAUGUGACGCAAUGGGCGAAAGCCUGACGGAGCAACGCCACGUGAGUGGUGACGGUCUUGGGAUCGUGAUGCUCGGUUACGGGGGAAGAACAGAUGUGUCAGGAGCUAUACACGGCUUGACGGUAACUGGUCAAAAAGCCACGGCUAACUACGUG
Molecule: ribosomal RNA, 497 nt
Filed under: uncultured bacterium
Lineage: Bacteria
Description: partial 16S ribosomal RNA
Rfam family: Bacterial small subunit ribosomal RNA
Source: RNAcentral